Molecule: long non-coding RNA, 3367 nt
Organism: Bombus huntii
Lineage: Eukaryota; Metazoa; Arthropoda; Insecta; Hymenoptera; Apidae
Exons: 6
Source: RefSeq, a predicted model, not a curated record
AAAAAGGUGGCAUAAAUGAGACGCGAUGUGGAUGUCUUCUGGAACGCGUAAUCGCGGAACGAUUGCGUAAAACAAAGCAAUAACCGGAAAUUGGAUUUUUUAUAAGUUUAAAUAGAAAUUCACGAAGGUCUCUGGCGGGAACGACGAGAAGAAUAAAGAAGAUAACAAAGUAUUCUAUGAUAUUAUAAUAACAAGUAAAAGUAACAGAAGAGAACGAUGACUGAGAGGUGUGGCGAUUAUUGGUUGCCCUUGCACACAAGACUCCACCUACCUGUACGCCUAUUUCGGUUAUAAACUGGGAUAGUAUUUCCUCUAAACGAACAGAGUCAAUCGAUCAAUGGCAAACGAACGGUUCGUAUAAAACCGAAAGGAAGAUCCUGAUCGUAAUCGCUGUAAAAAGCCUUCAAAUCCAAUUUCAUCGAUCAUCAAGCUCGUGACAAAAGUGACUGGUAAUUAAAAGAAAGAAGAGAAAAGGACCAUUUCGAUUGAGCUCGAUACCGAAUAGGUGAACGAGCGCGCAUAUUAAAAGCCUUUUAACGUAACCGACUGUAUUCAAGGUACUUUGGAGGCAGGGUUGAAACCACCCCAGUCGGAUUCACCCUCCUGGCACAGUCCAAGCUCUACGUGCGCCGAUUCGUAUGUACCUACGUGUUUAGGGAAUAGAGAAGCACCACGUAGGGGGAUGAAGGAUAGAGGAAGAACCAAAAUGGAUGUUUGGGGAUGCAUAGAAAUCCGUAGCUUAUUUACGACCUUCAAGGAAACACCCAACAGAUCUCACAAAGGACGUCAAUCAAAUUCGAAGAUGGUAUCCCACUGGGAGUAGCCAUCCACAUGUUAUAUUAUUAUAUUUCUGAGCUAUAAUAUUUUACCAAACGUCCUACUGGACAAAUUGUAAAAUGUAAAUAAAUAAAUUAAAAAAAAAAAAAAAAAAAGAAGAAAUCCGUAGCUUAUUUACGACCUACGAACUAUUCUCCAUCUUGUAAACCUGAAUUUAUCUUUUAUUUAACGUUCAAAUGAUACACUUACGUUUUAACUGAAUUGCCUUACUUAGUAUCUGGAUAUAAUCGUUUUUAUCGACAAGAUUCCUACAAUGGGGGUAAACAGCUCCUCCGCGUUGUCGAUUGGCUCAAGGGAAACCCGCGGUAGCCAGGACUGGUGCCUAUCUUAUUUUGCAAGCGGCACUCUCAGGAAGACGAUACUAUAAUUGGGACGCUGAUUGUCUUUUUUAUCUUUCCCUGUAAGAUGAUGUAGUGUUUUCAUUGUAAAACGAUACGGAGCUUGAGUAUUCCAAUGCGAAACGACGAAGCAAAGAAUGGCUGAUAUACGUGUAAGUAGUUUGCGAAUGUUUACACAAAUUCGCAUUUUUAUAAACUAAAGAAAUGGAACUUACGUAUCGUCAUCGACAUAUUAUAACAGAUAACUAUAUCUUGAUAUUAUAAGUAAGGAGAUUAAAUGAAAAUAGAAGAAUUCGGCCAUCAACGUUGGAAAAAUGUCGACGCAACGAUUCCAAUAGUUUGACGAAUGACUUAAGUCGAUAUUUUAUGAGAAUGUUUAACCUUUUAAAGAUUAGAAGAAUCUUGAGAGAAAAAAUGAAGAGUCGUUGAUUUUUCUCUUUAAUCUUAAGAAGCAAAGUUUGAUGAAUCGAUAAUUUAUCAAAUAUAAGAUUAAUAGACAGUGUACUGAAAAUGUUUUAAAUUGUUCUGCUGUGAAGUGCAAAAAGCACGUCUAAUUAUUCUUUCCAUAUAGUCGCUUGGAAGGUAAGUAGACACGUGAAGCUAACGAAGACAGAUCUAUGCUCUCGCUUUCUUCUUCCUCUUCUAUCCUUCUCUUUCGGUUUAUUUCUUCUCAAGUUUUUCUCCUACGUUUUUCUUCGAGAUUCUUCCCUCUCCCUUUUGCUUUUCUCGUUAAACGGAAUUCUUCUCGUAACGCGAAGCUAGUUCAGAUUCUUGGAAUCCUUGAUCGAAAGGUUUGUUCACUCGCAUGGUUUCACAGUUGACGUUUUUCCUUCUUAUUUGGCAGUUAGUCAAAUGGCAUAUAAUCACAAAAAUUGAAACUCGAUAUUUGACUAAGAUAUUUGCACGUUACGUACAUUCUGUUCAUCUUUGCGCCUUCAAAUAUUCGUAAAAAUGUAAGUUUCCGUAAGCAUCCGCGAUCCGAUGAUAAAACAUCAAUUCUCUUGAAUAUUUCGAAAUGGUAAAAGUGAGGAUUUAACUGACUAACGAGGAUAAAGGUACAAAGCGGCGAUCGUGUUUUUCCCGAGAUCGUCUUUGUUUCUUAUUCUCGUGCGUCGAGCAGGAAGAACCACGACGCCUCCCACUUUUGCUCUUGGAAGAGGAGCAAGAGCACGGAAGAAUGCUCGCGUGUGUGGAUUCCAUUCCACGCCAGUUUUUCGCCGUAUAUACCUGAUUAAUCGCGAUCGGGAAGCUUGUGGAAGCGUGUCGGAGAGAAAUGGCAGCGAGAUCAGCGUAACGUGAAACGAAGAGAGAACAAGGGAGAGACCUGGUAUUGGAUGGAAAGAGAAUGGGGAGAAGAGAGGCGCACAAGUGGCGCACACAUGGUGCACAGUUGUUCGAGAGGUCAGGUUUUUGUCCACGAGCCUUCAGUUUUACAGAUCCGGCCGAGUUUCUCUAUGUCUCUAUAUCUAUAUACAGGGUGAUCCACGUAACGCGACAUUUCCAUUCCUCGAUGGGAUUAUAGUCGGGGCUGUUUCUAUGGAUGGAAUGACAGAAUUGGGGGACAAUGUAUAUCGUCAGAAAGUUUCUCUGGGUACGGAUUGAUAUUACGUUGGGAUGAAAUCUUGCGAAUGUUUGGUAUUGGGGAUGCGUCACAGCAUACAAUUUUACCCGGCUAGUUGAUUAUUAUACAGAGAUAAUAUUUACAAUCGUGUUCGAAGAUAUUCUUUAUCGUCGUUCAUUGGGAUAAAUAAUUUUGACGAAUUGUAUCUUCUCACGUUGCUUCUUUCCUUUCACAGGCAAUCUUUACUAUUGCGUUUGGAGAUAUUUUUUAUUGUUACUCGUGCAAACGAAGAGUUUUGAAGAAGAAUCCUUUUACAUUUUUCUGAGUUCAUAGGUACACGAUUUUGUAAUAUUCUUAUUGUACAGGAAGAGGGACAGUACUGACCUUGGUACUAGAAUAAAGCAAAAUGAAAACACUGAGGGAGAGUGAAGUAAAAUAAAGGUAUUAAUAUACCGUGGUAAAAUUGAAAAGAUAUUAUACUUGUUGUCACUAAAUUUUUUUUUUAUAUUUAUUUAUUUUCAUUUUACAAUUUGUCCAGUAGGACAUUUGAUAAAAUAUUAUAGCUUAGUGUUAUAGUAUUAUAACAUGUGGAUGGCUACCCCCAGUGGGAUACCAUCUUCGAAUUUGAUUG